AGCAGCCGCGGUAACUCCAGCUCCAAUAGCGUAUAUUAAAGUUGUUGCAGUUAAAAAGCUCGUAGUUGAAUUUCGGGAUCGACGGGUCGGUCGCGCCUCUGGUGUGUACUGGCCCUGUCGGUUUCUCCCUUCUGACGAACCACGAUGUCAUUAAUUUGGUGUCGUGGGAAAUCAGGACUGUUACUUUGAAAAAAUUAGAGUGUUUAAAGCAGGCAUUCGCUUGAAUACAUUAGCAUGGAAUAAUGAAAUAGGACGUUUGAUCUUAUUUUGUUGGUUUCUAAGAUCGACGUAAUGAUUAAUAGGGAUAGUUGGGGGCAUUAGUAUUCAAUUGUCAGAGGUGAAAUUCUUGGAUUUAUUGAAGACUAACUACUGCGAAAGCAUUUGCCAAGGAUGUUUUCAUUAAUCAAGAACGAAAGUUAGGGGAUCGAAGACGAUCAGAUACCGUCGUAGUCUUAACCAUAAACUAUGCCGACUAGGGAUCGGAUGAUGUUAAUUUUUUAAUGACUCAUUCGGCGCCUUACG
RNAcentral lists this ribosomal RNA (522 nucleotides) under uncultured Glomeraceae. Its description in RNAcentral is "SSU rRNA". It matches the Rfam family "Eukaryotic small subunit ribosomal RNA", at positions 569 to 1092 of the family's 1831-position model. The record is from RNAcentral. Lineage: Eukaryota; Fungi; Glomeromycota; Glomeromycetes; Glomerales; Glomeraceae.